GAGGGUAUAGCUCAGUGGUAGAGCGUGUGCUUAGCAUGCAUGAGGUUCUGGGUUCAAUCCCUAGUACCUUCA
This 72-nucleotide transfer RNA is filed under the name Camelus bactrianus (Bactrian camel). It matches the Rfam family "tRNA". Rfam says of the family: Transfer RNA (tRNA) molecules are approximately 80 nucleotides in length. Their secondary structure includes four short double-helical elements and three loops (D, anti-codon, and T loops). The record is from Rfam by way of RNAcentral. Lineage: Eukaryota; Metazoa; Chordata; Mammalia; Artiodactyla; Camelidae. RNAcentral also lists the same sequence under 2 other names.